CCUACGGGAGGCAGCAGUGGGGAAUAUUGCACAAUGGGGGAAACCCUGAUGCAGCCACGCCGCGUGAGGGAAGAAGGCUUUCGGUUUGUAAAACUCUUUUUGUCGUGAAGACAAUGACGGUAACUGAGGAUGAAGCUCCGUCUCACUACGUGCCAGCAGCCGCGGUAAAACGUCGGGAGCAAGCGUUAUCCGGAUUGACUGGGGGUAAAGGGGGCUGAGGCGGUAUGGCAAGUCAGCCGUGAAAAUCCCAGGCUCAACCCACGUACUGCGGUUGAAACUGUGUAGUUUGAGUGCAGGAGAGGUAAGCGGAAUGCCUGGUGUAGCGGUGAAAUGCGUAGAUAUCAGGAGGAACACCAGUGGCGAAGGCGGCAUACUGGGCUGUAACUGACGCUGAGGCACGAAAGCGUGGGGAGCAAACAGGAUUAGAUACCCCUGUAGUC
RNAcentral lists this ribosomal RNA (440 nucleotides) under uncultured bacterium. Its description in RNAcentral is "partial 16S ribosomal RNA". It matches the Rfam family "Bacterial small subunit ribosomal RNA", at positions 338 to 795 of the family's 1533-position model. The record is from RNAcentral.